Long non-coding RNA from Diabrotica virgifera virgifera (western corn rootworm), 686 nucleotides. RefSeq lists it as uncharacterized. The record is from RefSeq and is a predicted model, not a curated record. NCBI's taxonomy places the organism in Eukaryota, Metazoa, Arthropoda, Insecta, Coleoptera, Chrysomelidae. The transcript is spliced from 2 exons.
CUCGAGUGGCAGAUAGCCUAUUCAAGUAGAGCGGCGAAUAAUUCAAUCUUAUGUUUCAAGUCAUAGUAUUAUUUUGAAAAGUUAAAUUAUCCGAGUUUAUUAUAUAUGUGUUUAGUGGGCUGAAGAAACGAGAAUUGAAUAUUUCCAGCAGUGAAUUGUGGCUAUCUGCCACUUGGGGAAAAUCUGUAACUACUCCUACCACCUGAGAGGGACCGCUUUACGACCAAGUCACCCAGGGGACAAGUUUUAAAAGCCCAUGUAAUUUUCUUUUACUUCAUUAUCCUGCAUCUUGGAGAACUGCCAUGUUACUGUUAGCUGUGUAGCACCAUUCUGUGGCUAACUAGGGAUCGAAGACGUUACUGAGAAGUAGCAAGGAACACUUGUGGGGACAAUAUCAGGUCAAUCGGGUUUGUUUCGGGAAAUUUUAUAUUUUACAGUGCAAUAGUUACCUACAUAUACCAGUAUACUUAUACAUUUAUCUUUUUUAUAAUAUCCAGAACAUUUAAUAAAUUAACAUACACAUAAUUCAAUAGCGCUCCCACACCUGUAUGUCUCUUUGUAAAAGAGGAUAAUUUGGGCCCAAAUAACCUUUUCCCAUACAGUAGUUCCUUACAUUUAUUUUUUUUAUCACCAUUAUUAGACUUGUUUCCCAUAUUUUGCAUAUAACUAUAUAUAUUUUAAUAUCA